This is a long non-coding RNA of Corapipo altera (White-ruffed manakin), 118 nucleotides long. RefSeq lists it as uncharacterized. The transcript has 3 exons. The record is from RefSeq and is a predicted model, not a curated record. Lineage: Eukaryota; Metazoa; Chordata; Aves; Passeriformes; Pipridae.
UGGUACAGGUUUCCUGGAGAAGCUGUGGAUUCCCCAUCCCUGGAAGUAUCCAAGGCCAGGUUGGAUGGGGUUUGGAGCAACCUGGGCUAGUGGGAGGUGGCCCUGCCCAUGGCAGGGG